GGGGGGCAUCUGUAAGCUUAGAUGUUGGCCGAUACAAUCUUCCUAAAGCAACCUUGCACUUCGGUUUCUUGGAUAGUUGCACUGCCUUAGAGAGCUCUGCAAGUCGAGGAUGAAGUGCAUAUACGA
This is a small nucleolar RNA of Salvia splendens (bonfire salvia), 126 nucleotides long. RefSeq annotates it as small nucleolar RNA snoR104. The record is from RefSeq and is a predicted model, not a curated record. NCBI's taxonomy places the organism in Eukaryota, Viridiplantae, Streptophyta, Magnoliopsida, Lamiales, Lamiaceae. The transcript has a single exon.